Molecule: unclassified non-coding RNA, 549 nt
Filed under: Hevea brasiliensis (rubber tree)
Lineage: Eukaryota; Viridiplantae; Streptophyta; Magnoliopsida; Malpighiales; Euphorbiaceae
Source: RNAcentral
GGCACAGUAAGAACACCUAUAAAUUUCCAACUUCUUUAAUCAGCAUCCAUUUCUUCCAGGGCAGCUUUAGCAGCUGCCUUUGCUUCCUCUAGGAGAUCCUCUGGGACCUUCUGAUGUUGGCGGUUUGAUUCAUCACAGAUCCAACUCAUUUCCAACUCGAAAUCCUUAUCCUUUGCCUCAUCAUGCACUCCAUAAAUGAUCUUGGCUACUUCAAUAACCCCUUGCCGACAAGUCAAUUCAGAGAGCUUCAACUUUUCAAUUUCCGUUUUUGCAGCUUGCCUACCCUUUCCAAUUGCAGCACCAUAGUAUCUGUAGGAAACACCAGAUGGUUCAACCAUGUACAAUUGUGGUCCAUCUCUAUCAUAACCUCCAAGAAUUACACCACAUCCAAAAGGUCUGAGCCACCAGUAAAGUGUACAGAGAUGAACAUAACUAGCCACACGAUCAGCUAGUUCCUUAACAGGAAUUGGUUCACCAUAAACACUUUCGUAGUUGGUUGCUUCAGACUUAGCUCGAGCAACUAUUUGUCUUCCAUCUGCUGCUAAUCCG